RNAcentral lists this ribosomal RNA (898 nucleotides) under uncultured marine bacterium. RNAcentral describes it as "bacterial SSU rRNA". It matches the Rfam family "Bacterial small subunit ribosomal RNA", at positions 61 to 1007 of the family's 1533-position model. The record is from RNAcentral.
GUCGAACGGAGUAGCAAUACUCAGUGGCAGACGGGUGAGUAACAUGUGGGAAUCUUCCCUUUGGUGAGGAAUAACACGAGGAAACUUGUGCUAAUACCUCAUAAGUCUUUACGGAGAAAGCUUUAUGCGCCAAUGGAUGAGCCCGCACUAGAUUAGUUUGUUGGUGGGGUAAUGGCUUACCAAGACAGUGAUCUAUAGCUGAUCUGAGAGGAUGAUCAGCCACAUUGGAACUGAGACACGGUCCAAACUCCUACGGGAGGCAGCAGUAGGGAAUAUUGCACAAUGGAGGAAACUCUGAUGCAGCGAUGCCGCGUGAGUGAAGAAGGCCUUUGGGUUGUAAAGCUCUUUCGUCGGGGAAGAAAAUGACUGUACCCGAAUAAGAAGGUCCGGCUAACUUCGUGCCAGCAGCCGCGGUAAUACGAAGGGACCUAGCGUAGUUCGGAAUUACUGGGCUUAAAGAGUUCGUAGGUGGUUAAAAUAGUUGGUGGUGAAAUCCCAGAGCUUAACUCUGGAACUGCCAUCAAAACUUUUUCGCUAGAGUUUGAUAGAGGAAAGCAGAAUUUCUAGUGUAGAGGUGAAAUUCGUAGAUAUUAGAAAGAAUACCAAUUGCGAAGGCAGCUUUCUGGAUCAUUACUGACACUGAGGAACGAAAGCAUGGGUAGCGAAGAGGAUUAGAUACCCUCGUAGUCCAUGCCGUAAACGAUGUGUGUUAGACGUUGGAAAUUUAUUUUCAGUGUCGCAGCGAAAGCAUUAAACACACCGCCUGGGGAGUACGACCGCAAGGUUAAAACUCAAAUGAAUUGACGGGGACCCGCACAAGUAGUGGAGCAUGUGGUUUAAUUCGAAGAUACGCGCAGAACCUUACCAACACUUGACAUGUUCGUCGCGACUUUAAGAG